CCUACGGGAGGCAGCAGUGGGGAAUUUUGCACAAUGCGGGAAACCCUGAUGCAGCGACGCCGCGUGAGUGAAGAAGUAAUUCGUUAUGUAAAGCUCUAUCAGCAGGGAAGAAAAUGCCGGUACCUGAGUAAGUAUCCACGGCUAAUUCCGGGCCAGCCGCCGCGGUAAUACGUAGGGGGCGAGCGUUAUCCGGAGUUACGGGGGGUAAAGGGGACGUAGACGGCGGUGCAAGUCUGGAGUGAAAGGCGUGGGCUCAACCCUCGGAAGGCUCCGGAAACUGUACGUCUGGAGUGCAAGAGAGGAAAGUAGAAUUCCUGGUGUAGCGGUGAAAUGCGUAGAUAUUAGGAGGAACACCAGUAGCGAAGGCGGCUUACUGGACUGUAACUGACGUUGAGGCUCGAAAGCGUGGGGAGCAAACAGGAUUAGAUACCCUUGUAGUC
Molecule: ribosomal RNA, 440 nt
Filed under: uncultured bacterium
Lineage: Bacteria
Description: partial 16S ribosomal RNA
Rfam family: Bacterial small subunit ribosomal RNA
Source: RNAcentral